ACAAUCUCUGGUAAUUACUUUCUCCGUUCCAUUUUAAGCGUAGUUAUGAGUUUUAUUUGAAAUUUUUUUAUGAUUAGUUUUUUUAUUGUUAUUAGAUGAUAAAACAAAAUUAAUAUUUUAUACGUGACUGAUGUUUUUUAUUUUUUUCAAAUAAUUUUCAAACAACGCGUACAAUUAAAGUUGAACACAGAAGCUCGUGACUGCGUUUAAA
Molecule: microRNA precursor, 211 nt
Filed under: Oryza glumipatula
Lineage: Eukaryota; Viridiplantae; Streptophyta; Magnoliopsida; Poales; Poaceae
Description: MIR812 microRNA precursor family
Rfam family: MIR812 microRNA precursor family
Source: Rfam by way of RNAcentral